RNAcentral lists this ribosomal RNA (469 nucleotides) under uncultured bacterium. Its description in RNAcentral is "partial 16S ribosomal RNA". It matches the Rfam family "Bacterial small subunit ribosomal RNA", at positions 28 to 507 of the family's 1533-position model. The record is from RNAcentral.
GAUGAACGCUGGCGGCGUGCUUAACACAUGCAAGUCGAACGGAGGGGCGCGGCGCUUGCGGGGUGCUUGAUAGGCGAAGGGGGGUGUAACACGCGAGUAUCACGCCCUUAUCUUUGGGAUAACUCUAGGAAACAGGGGCUAAUACAGCAGAGGAUCUUCUGCACCACGGGGGGCGAUGGUAAGAGUCGGUGGUUGGGGAAGUACUCGCUGCUUAUCAGCUUGUUGGUGGGGUAGUGGAUUACCAAGGCUUUGAAGGGUAGCAGGCCUGAGAGGGUGACCGGCGACAUUGGGACUGAGGUACGGCCCAGACUCCUACGCGAGGCAGCAGUGGGGAAGAUUGCACGAUGGGCGGAAGCCUGAUGCAGCAGCGCCGCGGGCGGGAUGACGGCCUUCGGGUUGUAAACCGCUUUCGCUCAUGACGAAGCUUUGUGUGACGGUAGUGGAUAAAGAAGCACCGGCUAACUACGUG